UACGUAGGGUGCGAGCGUUAAUCGGAAUUACUGGGCGUAAAGCGUGCGCAGGCGGUGAUGUAAGGCAGAUGUGAAAUCCCCGGGCUCAACCUGGGAACUGCAUUUGUGACUGCAUCGCUGGAGUGCGGCAGAGGGGGAUGGAAUUCCGCGUGUAGCAGUGAAAUGCGUAGAUAUGCGGAGGAACACCGAUGGCGAAGGCAAUCCCCUGGGCCUGCACUGACGCUCAUGCACGAAAGCGUGGGGAGCAAACAGG
This 253-nucleotide ribosomal RNA is filed under the name uncultured bacterium. RNAcentral describes it as "partial 16S ribosomal RNA". It matches the Rfam family "Bacterial small subunit ribosomal RNA", at positions 524 to 776 of the family's 1533-position model. The record is from RNAcentral.